This 1268-nucleotide ribosomal RNA is filed under the name Salmonella enterica subsp. enterica serovar Kirkee. Its description in RNAcentral is "partial 23S ribosomal RNA". It matches the Rfam family "Bacterial large subunit ribosomal RNA", at positions 137 to 1444 of the family's 2925-position model. The record is from RNAcentral. Lineage: Bacteria; Pseudomonadati; Pseudomonadota; Gammaproteobacteria; Enterobacterales; Enterobacteriaceae.
GAUUCGUCACACUAUCAUUAACUGAAUCCAUAGGUUAAUGAGGCGAACCGGGGGAACUGAAACAUCUAAGUACCCCGAGGAAAAGAAAUCAACCGAGAUUCCCCCAGUAGCGGCGAGCGAACGGGGAGGAGCCCAGAGCCUGAAUCAGCAUGUGUGUUAGUGGAAGCGUCUGGAAAGGCGCGCGAUACAGGGUGACAGCCCCGUACACAAAAGCGCAUAUGCUGUGAGCUCGAUGAGUAGGGCGGGACACGUGGUAUCCUGUCUGAAUAUGGGGGGACCAUCCUCCAAGGCUAAAUACUCCUGACUGACCGAUAGUGAACCAGUACCGUGAGGGAAAGGCGAAAAGAACCCCGGCGAGGGGAGUGAAAAAGAACCUGAAACCGUGUACGUACAAGCAGUGGGAGCACCCUUUGGGGUGUGACUGCGUACCUUUUGUAUAAUGGGUCAGCGACUUAUAUUCUGUAGCAAGGUUAACCGAAUAGGGGAGCCGGAGGGAAACCGAGUCUUAAUUGGGCGUUAAGUUGCAGGGUAUAGACCCGAAACCCGGUGAUCUAGCCAUGGGCAGGUUGAAGGUUGGGUAACACUAACUGGAGGACCGAACCGACUAAUGUUGAAAAAUUAGCGGAUGACCUGUGGCUGGGGGUGAAAGGCCAAUCAAACCGGGAGAUAGCUGGUUCUCCCCGAAAGCUAUUUAGGUAGCGCCUCGUGAAUUCAUCUCCGGGGGUAGAGCACUGUUUCGGCUAGGGGGCCAUCCCGGCUUACCAACCCGAUGCAAACUGCGAAUACCGGAGAAUGUUAUCACGGGAGACACACGGCGGGUGCUAACGUCCGUCGUGAAGAGGGAAACAACCCAGACCGCCAGCUAAGGUCCCAAAGUCAUGGUUAAGUGGGAAACGAUGUGGGAAGGCCCAGACAGCCAGGAUGUUGGCUUAGAAGCAGCCAUCAUUUAAAGAAAGCGUAAUAGCUCACUGGUCGAGUCGGCCUGCGCGGAAGAUGUAACGGGGCUAAACCAUGCACCGAAGCUGCGGCAGCGACACUGUGUGUUGUUGGGUAGGGGAGCGUUCUGUAAGCCUGCGAAGGUGGCCUGUGAGGGUUGCUGGAGGUAUCAGAAGUGCGAAUGCUGACAUAAGUAACGAUAAAGCGGGUGAAAAGCCCGCUCGCCGGAAGACCAAGGGUUCCUGUCCAACGUUAAUCGGGGCAGGGUGAGUCGACCCCUAAGGCGAGGCCGAAAGGCGUAGUCGAUGGGAAACGGGUUAAUAUUCCCGUAC